RNAcentral lists this ribosomal RNA (1384 nucleotides) under uncultured bacterium. RNAcentral describes it as "bacterial SSU rRNA". It matches the Rfam family "Bacterial small subunit ribosomal RNA". The record is from RNAcentral.
AGAGUCUGAUCCUGGCUCAGGAUGAACGCUGGCGGCGUGCCUAACACAUGCAAGUCGAACGAAGCACCUUGAUUUCUUCGGAUUGAUUGGUGACUGAGUGGCGGACGGGUGAGUAACGCGUGGGUAACCUGCCUCAUACAGGGGGAUAACAGUUAGAAAUGGCUGCUAAUACCGCAUAAGCGCACGGUAUCGCAUGAUACAGUGUGAAAAACUCCGGUGGUAUGAGAUGGACCCGCGUCUGAUUAGCUAGUUGGUGAGGUAACGGCCCACCAAGGCAACGAUCAGUAGCCGGACUGAGAGGUUGACCGGCCACAUUGGGACUGAGAUACGGCCCAGACUCCUACGGGAGGCAGCAGUGGGGAAUAUUGGGCAAUGGGCGCAAGCCUGACCCAGCAACGCCGCGUGAAGGAAGAAGGCUUUCGGGUUGUAAACUUCUUUUAGCAGGGACGAAGAACGUGACGGUACCUGCAGAAAAAGCAACGGCUAACUACGCGCCAGCAGCCGCGGUAAUACGUAGGUUGCAAGCGUUGUCCGGAAUUACUGGGUGUAAAGGGCGUGUAGGCGGAGAUGCAAGUUGGGAGUGAAAUCCAUGGGCUCAACCCAUGAACUGCUUUCAAAACUGCAUCCCUUGAGUAUCGGAGAGGCAAGCGGAAUUCCUAGUGUAGCGGUGAAAUGCGUAGAUAUUAGGAGGAACACCAGUGGCGAAGGCGGCUUGCUGGACGACUACUGACGCUGAGGCGCGAAAGCGUGGGGAGCAAAACAGGAUUAGAUACCCUGGUAGUCCACGCUGUAAACGAUGAAAUACUAGGUGUGGGAGGACUGACCCCUUCCGUGCCGCAGUUAACACAAUAAGUAUUCCACCUGGGGAGUACGACCGCAAGGUUGAAACUCAAAGGAAUUGACGGGGGCCCGCACAAGCAGUGGAUUAUGUGGUUUAAUUCGACGCAACGCGAAGAACCUUACCAGGAUUUGACAUCCAACUAACGAAGCAGAGAUGCAUUAGGUGCCCUUCGGGGAAAGUUGAGACAGGUGGUGCAUGGUUGUCGUCAGCUCGUGUCGUGAGAUGUUGGGUUAAGUCCCGCAACGAGCGCAACCCCUAUUGUUAGUUGCUACGCAAGAGCACUCUAGCGAGACUGCCGUUGACAAAACGGAGGAAGGCGGGGACGACGUCAAAUCAUCAUGCCCCUUAUGUCCUGGGCUACACACGUAAUACAAUGGCCGUCAACAAAGGGAAGCAAAGCCGCGAGGUGGAGCAAACCCCCAAAAACGGCCUCAGUUCGGAUUGCAGGCUGCAACUCGCCUGCAUGAAGCUGGAAUUGCUAGUAAUCGUGGAUCAGCAUGCCACGGUGAAUACGUUCCCGGGCCUUGUACACACCGCCCGUCA